UGGUGAUGCCUUUGCUCCGGGUCUUUCAUUCAAUACGGAGGCCCCGGUUGCUUUUUAAAUCUUGCCGUCUCCUGGCCUCACUCAUCACCUAGGGGUGAAAAGGCAGAGCAGGACCAGCUGUGUAUCCUCAGGGAAACGGACGCCAGCUGGGGCGAGCUUCACCCAGGACCAUCGCCUUGGCCUCUGAGAUUGUUGUGGGGCUGCCCAUGAUGUGACUUCUCUUCACAGAUGCUCACCUCUCUCGACCUCCUGCACCUAAGCAGAGCCAUGUCUACCUCUCCUCUGCCCACGCCCUCCCCACAUGCAUUGCUUUAUUAAGUAACACAGCCCUGAACCCCUAAGUUUCUUUGUAUCCAUCUUUCUCUCCCUUUCACCUCCCCUAUCCUGUUGCAUCCCACACUCCUCUCUGCCCUGUCUGCCUACUCCUCACCUCCCGUUCUGGUGGUGCUGCUGUCCAUUGGAGAAUGUGUGCUCAUUCACCCUCACCUUGAUGCAAGUAUAGGAACAUGGGAGGGGUGCUCAUAAGAUAAAAGCUACCACCUCUCUUACGGGAGUGCCUCACUGAGAGCGAGAAAUUCUACUCUUACUUUUGAAAAAUAAUGUGUAGUAGCAUGUACAGCAAAGGGACCUUCAUUUGGAAGUAUAUGAUUAAAUGAGAAAAGAAAACUAUAGAAAAAUGUAUCUGUAACAUUUGUAUAUACCAUAUAAUAUGAUAUACAGAACACAUGCUAUAUCACAUGAAGUGAUUACAUUAUUACCCCACAAAUGGAUCCUAUACAGAUACCACAUGCGCGUGCAGCUGUAAUGCAUAUUAAAAAGACCCAAACGGAUGUAUUCCCAA
This is a long non-coding RNA of Mesocricetus auratus (golden hamster), 841 nucleotides long. RefSeq lists it as uncharacterized. The record is from RefSeq and is a predicted model, not a curated record. The transcript is spliced from 2 exons. NCBI's taxonomy places the organism in Eukaryota, Metazoa, Chordata, Mammalia, Rodentia, Cricetidae.